Molecule: long non-coding RNA, 1110 nt
Filed under: Salmo salar (Atlantic salmon)
Lineage: Eukaryota; Metazoa; Chordata; Actinopteri; Salmoniformes; Salmonidae
Description: lncRNA (ENSSSAG00000091672.1)
Source: RNAcentral
UCGCUGUUGGCUUGGCUCCCCGCCUGUGCCAUCAAACCCCUGCAAUUUAUCCAGAAAGCAGCAGCCCGCCUGGUUUUCAACCUUCCCAAGUUCUCUCAUGUCAUCCCACUACAAGACCAUGGUGCUUACCAAUGGAACAGCAAGCGGAUCUGCCCCUCCCUACUUUCCAGCUAUGCUCAAACCCCACACCCAAACCCAAGCACUCCUCAGGUCUCUUGGCCAGCUCCCACUCAGCCCAAUCCAAGCUCUUCUCUGGCACCCCAAUGUUAGAACCAGCUUCCCCCUGAAGCUAGGCCUUCAGAGUCCCUGCCCAUCUUCCGAAAACAGCUGACAAUGUUAUAUAUAAAAGGACUGUUGAUAUUGCAACCCCACAACUCAAACACCGGUUUACCAGUAGGAACGAAAUCUCAAACCUUUUUUUUGUUCAAACCCUCACAAACUGUUGUCCGUUAAAGAUGAUUACUAAAAAUGAUUGAAUCAGACAAUUUAUUGGCUAUUCAGAAUCUAGACGACGUGCUCUAUCCAUUGUUCUAUCUGUGGUAGCAUUAGUGCCUCAGCUGCUGUUGGUGGCUCAUCAUCAUCAUCAGUAGCCUACAACCGGCUAGCACUAGCAGCAGCACAGCGGUCGCUAAUGUCGAACCAGAGCGAGAGCUCGGGGGGAGGAAGAUGCAAAUCAUGCAAAUUCGGAUUCAGAGCCUGAUUCACCCCAGCCCUUGCUCUUCCAGAGUCACAAAGAUAUCAGCAUGUGGACCUACUGCGUGAGUGUGAUGAUGUUUGUGGUCUUCCCUGAUGACAUCACUGCCAACAUGACCCUGGUGGAGGAGAGCCUGAUGGCCGAGUUUGUCCAGGACCGUUCAGUUUCUGCACUUGGCCGACGCACUGCCUUCCAAGAGUUCAGCUACUCCACUGGCCUGCUGCCUGCUUACUGACCAGGGUCUAUCUUGAUAGGUUGCAGGACACAGACCAGUGUUCUGCAAAGCUCAGCAGCCUCAAUCACAAGUUGGCACACACACACACACACAAACCAGCACUUAGGAGGAUCCUAAGAGGAGACCUUUCAAUAAAUAUCAUAUGUAGAAAUAUUAAUCUAAUAAAUAAAAGGAAUUAAAA